Molecule: ribosomal RNA, 483 nt
Filed under: uncultured bacterium
Lineage: Bacteria
Description: partial 16S ribosomal RNA
Rfam family: Bacterial small subunit ribosomal RNA
Source: RNAcentral
UUGAACGCUGGCGGCAGGCCUCACACAUGCAAGUCGAGCGGAUGAAGGGAGCUUGCUCCUGGAUUCAGCGGCGGACGGGUGAGUAAUGCCUAGGAAUCUGCCUGGUAGUGGGGGAUAACGUCCGGAAACGGGCGCUAAUACCGCAUACGUCCUGAGGGAGAAAGUGGGGGAUCUUCGGACCUCACGCUAUCAGAUGAGCCUAGGUCGGAUUAGCUAGUUGGUGGGGUAAAGGCCUACCAAGGCGACGAUCCGUAACUGGUCUGAGAGGAUGAUCAGUCACACUGGAACUGAGACACGGUCCAGGCUCCUACGGGAGGCAGCAGUGGGGAAUAUUGGACAAUGGGCGAAAGCCUGAUCCAGCCAUGCCGCGUGUGUGAAGAAGGUCUUCGGAUUGUAAAGCACUUUAAGUUGGGAGGAAGGGCAGUAAGUUAAUACCUUGCUGUUUUGACGUUACCAACAGAAUAAGCACCGGCUAACUUCGUG